GGUAAAAUGGUCGAGUAGGCAUUAGACUGUAAAUCUAAAGACAGGGGUAAAGUCCCCUUUUUAUCA
RNAcentral lists this transfer RNA (66 nucleotides) under Cephalorhynchus heavisidii (Heaviside's dolphin). RNAcentral's name for it is "tRNA-Tyr". It matches the Rfam family "tRNA". Rfam says of the family: Transfer RNA (tRNA) molecules are approximately 80 nucleotides in length. Their secondary structure includes four short double-helical elements and three loops (D, anti-codon, and T loops). Further hydrogen bonds mediate the characteristic L-shaped molecular structure. tRNAs have two regions of fundamental functional importance: the anti-codon, which is responsible for specific mRNA codon recognition, and the 3' end, to which the tRNAs corresponding amino acid is attached (by aminoacyl-tRNA synthetases). tRNAs cope with the degeneracy of the genetic code in two manners: having more than one tRNA (with a specific anti-codon) for a particular amino acid; and 'wobble' base-pairing, i.e. permitting non-standard base-pairing at the 3rd anti-codon position. The record is from RNAcentral. Lineage: Eukaryota; Metazoa; Chordata; Mammalia; Artiodactyla; Delphinidae.